Molecule: transfer RNA, 72 nt
Filed under: Camelus bactrianus (Bactrian camel)
Lineage: Eukaryota; Metazoa; Chordata; Mammalia; Artiodactyla; Camelidae
Also listed under: 2 other names
Rfam family: tRNA
About the family: Transfer RNA (tRNA) molecules are approximately 80 nucleotides in length. Their secondary structure includes four short double-helical elements and three loops (D, anti-codon, and T loops).
Source: Rfam by way of RNAcentral
GUAGGUAUAGCUCAGUGGUAGAGUGCGUGCUUAGCAUGCACAAGGUCCUGGGUUCAAUCCCCAGUACCUCCA